GAUGAAGAACGUAGCGAAAUGCGAUAAGUAGUGUGAAUUGCAGAAUUCAGUGAAUCAUCGAAUCUUUGAACGCACAUUGCGCCCCUUGGAAUUCCAUGGGGCAUGCCUGUUCGAGCGUCAUUUGUACCUUCAAGCUCUGCUUGGUGUUGGGUGUUUGUCUCGCCUCUGCGUGUAGACUCGCCUCAAAACAAUUGGCAGCCGGCGUAUUGAUUUCGGAGCGCAGUACAUCUCGCGCUUUGCACUCAUAACGACGACGUCCAAAAGUACAUUUUUACACUCUUGACCUCGGAUCAGGUAGGGAUACCCGCUGAACUUAAGCAUAUCAAUAAGCGGAGGA
This 337-nucleotide unclassified non-coding RNA is filed under the name soil metagenome. RNAcentral's name for it is "partial contains 5.8S ribosomal RNA, internal transcribed spacer 2, and large subunit ribosomal RNA". The stretch from base 1 to 120 matches the Rfam family "5.8S ribosomal RNA", at positions 35 to 154 of the family's 154-position model. The record is from RNAcentral.